UACGGGGGGAGCAAGCGUUGUUCGGAUUUACUGGGCGUAAAGGGCGCGUAGGCGGUCAGCACAAGUCAGUUGUGAAAUCUCCGGGCUUAACUCGGAAAGGUCAACUGAUACUGUGCGACUAGAGUGCGGCAGAGGGGGAUGGAAUUCCGCGUGUAGCAGUGAAAUGCGUAGAUAUGCGGAGGAACACCGAUGGCGAAGGCAAUCCCCUGGGCCUGCACUGACGCUCAUGCACGAAAGCGUGGGGAGCAAACAGG
Molecule: ribosomal RNA, 254 nt
Filed under: uncultured bacterium
Lineage: Bacteria
Description: partial 16S ribosomal RNA
Rfam family: Bacterial small subunit ribosomal RNA
Source: RNAcentral